GAACGAAAGGUGGGCAGGCAGGGCAGAAAGUAGCAAAUUUCUCCUCAGGAAACAGAGGAAAAGGAGACAGACAAAAGAUGCUGCAGCCAAAAAUGCCUACUUUGCCCUGAAUAAGAGACAGACAAAAGAUGCUGCAGCCAAAAACACCUAGUUUGCCCUGAAGAAGAUAAAUGCCCUCGAGCCCUGGAUGCAGUGGCCCUUAGAAAGAGACUAAAUUAGUCUGAAAG
RNAcentral lists this long non-coding RNA (227 nucleotides) under Salvator merianae (Argentine black and white tegu). Its description in RNAcentral is "lncRNA (ENSSMRG00000021887.1)". Lineage: Eukaryota; Metazoa; Chordata; Lepidosauria; Squamata; Teiidae. The record is from RNAcentral.